This 69-nucleotide transfer RNA is filed under the name Lachnospiraceae bacterium. RNAcentral's name for it is "tRNA-Pro". It matches the Rfam family "tRNA". Rfam says of the family: Transfer RNA (tRNA) molecules are approximately 80 nucleotides in length. The record is from RNAcentral. RNAcentral also lists the same sequence under 1 other name. Lineage: Bacteria; Bacillati; Bacillota; Clostridia; Lachnospirales; Lachnospiraceae.
GAGAACGUGGUGUAAUGGUAACACGCGUCGCCUGGGACGACGAGUAGCGGUUCGAAUCCGACGUUUUCG